Molecule: ribosomal RNA, 278 nt
Filed under: uncultured bacterium
Lineage: Bacteria
Description: partial 16S ribosomal RNA
Rfam family: Bacterial small subunit ribosomal RNA
Source: RNAcentral
UACGUAGGGGGCGAGCGUUGUCCGAAGUUACUGGGCGUAAAGCGCACGUAGGCGGCCGGAUAAGUUGCAUCUAAAAGGCGACAGCUCAACUGUCGAGUGCGGUGCAAGACUGUCUGGCUUGAGGCAAGCAGAAGAGUGUGGAACUCCGAGUGUAGCGGUGGAAUGCGUAGAGAUUCGGAAGAACACCCAUGGCGAAGGCAGCACUCUGGGCUUGAGAAGAUAAGGGAGCAAUCCCUUAUUCCUGACGCUGAGGAGCGAAAGCCAGGGGAGCGAACGGG